AAAUAAAUAGAUAUUGGGAUACUACAUUUUUCCGAAACAGUAUUAAAAGAAGCUAACAUGACAAUGGCAAAUCGGGUUAAAAGGGGCAAAUAAAAUCUUACAUGUCGCAUCUCCCGCUGUCAAUGGCACAUAUGCGUUAUAUAAAAUCGGCUUGAGGGAUUAGCCGGGCUGUAGUAUGUGUAAUUAAAAGUGAAAUUGUGGGGUCCUAACGAGUUUGCGGCAGCUGCUAAAUGCAACUGCAAGUUGGCCACACAGACAAACAAAAAAAAUGUGAGCCGCACUCGAACUGGAGUUUGGCUGCAUGAUUGAUGGAUGAGUUUGAGUUUGUCAUGCAAAUUUCAACAGCCCACGAGUGGCGGUCCGCUGCUGAUGAUGAUGUUGUCUCCCGGAGUCGCCAUCUCCCCGCCGAUCACCAUGUUUUUUCAGUUCCUCAGAUACCCAUAUACCCAGAUCCCCAUCCCCAUCAUCAUUACAUACCACUAACGAGCGGCGCGUGGUCUGGCCCAAAGACUCUGUCUCCGUGCCCGUUUUCUCGGCCAUAUUCUGAUAUCAUAAAUAUGAAGCUGUUUUUAUUAAAAAUUGCCUGAUGCCCGAGACCUGGCCUAAGCCGCAUUGGCAUGUGUGUGGCAUAUAAAUUGCAUUCCGCUGGAAUUUUAAUGACAGCCUUUGGAAAUUAAUCUAACGCGUUCGGCUGGCGAACAGAAGAGCGUUGACUAGCCCAGUCACAUAUGAAGCACUGAGGAUAAAAUUAUUGAAAUUAUUAACUAUGUAAUAAAACAGGUAAAUAUCUAUAAAAUCUGGAACUCUA
Drosophila subpulchrella is the source of this 808-nucleotide long non-coding RNA. RefSeq lists it as uncharacterized. The record is from RefSeq and is a predicted model, not a curated record. The transcript is spliced from 2 exons. Lineage: Eukaryota; Metazoa; Arthropoda; Insecta; Diptera; Drosophilidae.